GAUGAACGCUGGCGGCGUGCCUAAUACAUGCAAGUCGAGCGAACGGACGAGAAGCUUGCUUCUCUGAUGUUAGCGGCGGACGGGUGAGUAACACGUGGAUAACCUACCUAUAAGACUGGGAUAACUUCGGGAAACCGGAGCUAGUACCGGAUAAUAUUUUGAACCGCAUGGUUCAAAAGUGAAAGACGGUCUUGCUGUCACUUAUAGAUGGGUCCGCGCUGCAUUAGCUAGUUGCUAAGGUAACGGCUUACCAAGGCAACGAUGCAUAGCCGACCUGAGAGGGUGAUCGGCCACACUGGAACUGAGACACGGUCCAGACUCCUACGGGAGGCAGCAGUAGGGAAUCUUCCGCAAUGGGCGAAAGCCUGACGGAGCAACGCCGCGUGAGUGAUGAAGGUCUUCGGAUCGUAAAACUCUGUUAUUAGGGAAGAACAUAUGUGUAAGUAACUGUGCACAUCUUGACGGUACCUAAUCAGAAAGCCACGGCUAACUACGUG
This 497-nucleotide ribosomal RNA is filed under the name uncultured bacterium. RNAcentral describes it as "partial 16S ribosomal RNA". It matches the Rfam family "Bacterial small subunit ribosomal RNA", at positions 28 to 507 of the family's 1533-position model. The record is from RNAcentral.